GUGUUUGUGUCGACAAUUACAAGGGAGAAGAAGAGAAGCAACCUAGUUCAUCCUCUUCACAAAUUGAUGCAAUUCUCCACCAAAUUGAAGUGUUUGGGGCUUGAUUCUUUGGGCUUUAAGCCUUUCUAUACAUCUAAGACAAGCUUGACUCUUUGACGAGCUAGGUGGAAGCUUGGAGAGGAUUGGUCAAACGAAAUAAAGAUGCCAGGAAACUUGCACGGAUGCGAGGUAAGUAAAACUUACACCCCUAGAAUAGGAUCAUUGAUCAUGUGAGGGUAAUGUCUUGACAGUUAGUUAAAGGUUAUCGAGUAACCAGUUUUGGUAACAUGUAUAAAAAUGGAAUGAAUUCCUUGGUGUAAACCAUGAAACGUGUCAAAUUAGUGAGUUGUAAAAUAAGCCACUUGUUGGUAAUGAUGAUGAUAUGCUAAAAAUGAAUUCCAUGGUGUAAACCAUGAAAUGGGUCAAAAUAGUAAACCGCAAACCAAAUCAUUUGUUCGUGAUGAUGAUGAUGUACUAAAAUGAAACCCAGUGGCGUAAACCAUAACGGGUCAAAAUGGGUAAAUGUGACCUUAAAACAAAGGGGGUUCCGGUUAAUACUCUUAAGGGGUAGACUGGGAAUCGGUCUAAGGAACCAUCAGACAAACCAUAGUUACCUAAAUCGCUAGGGUAGCCACAAUCCACGUAUUGGAUCGUGGUGUACCCAAUCGGAAAUCGUAAGCGUACCGGAACGACAUGGUCCGGGGAACCGGGUUGCGUCGGUACGGUGUUCUUGAUUGCGGAGGUACGGCGAUCCAAAUUGAUCCAGUUCAGCAAACCAAAUAGACAAGGUCGAGGUUCCAAAUCGAUUGGGAUACAACGAUCCAUAGCUAUUUUAGGUGGGAACCAGGAAGAAAGGGGAAGAAGACCAGCGGCUGCGUCUGUGUGUUAUCUGGCUGUUUUAGGCUUUUUAGGUUUAAAGAAGUUUAGUUAUUUCAACAUUUAACCCCUCUAUGUUUUCUAGUUUACAUUUAAACGCUAAAACUUAUAGUUUUUACAUAAAAAGUGUAAAAGUAGUUUGUGUAUUUGAACAUUUAACCCCCUCUAUCUUCACUAGUUUACAUUUGAUCCUUAAACUUAUAAACUUACACAUAAAAAGUAUAAAUUAACAUUAUAUAUAUAUAACAAUGAACCAAAUUACAUCAAUUUCUACUCCUAUUCAAUUUUUAUCUUCAACCUUCAAUGUUUAUGUUUGGUAAUUUGAAUUUUGGAAUUUGGUAAUUUAUGUUUUAAUCUGUGUACACCGAACCGGAUUCCAUGGUACACUGUACCGGUUCGUACCGAAAUGAACCUACCCCCGUUCGUACCGAAAACGUCACCUCUAGCGAAUCGCGUACCCGAACCACGUACCCGUACCGGAGCGAACAGCGAAUUAGGUAACUAUGAGACAAACAAACAGGUCAAAUAGUGAUAAUAUCACCAUUUGAAUCUGAGACAUGUUUUGCCGGGUCAUACGGGUCAAAGGGUGAUGUUGUCACCAUUUGAGCAUAACAUCUAAUGAUGUAUCUUGUUGAGUACGCUUCUUACAGGUAAGCGUGAUGGACAGGCAUGCAUUGCCAUGACAAGCGUAAGGUAACACAAAGUGUAAGAAUAAACGGGUCAAUAUUUAAACCUGUGCCAGGUAUGAAAUAAUAGUGAUACCAUCGUAAAGGGGGUCGGGUUGUCUAAUGAUGGUAGGAUUAGAAUUGGGUGAUGAAAUCACCCAUGUAAACUACACGUAGAAAUUGGAUAUAAAGCUUUUGAGCCAUAAGCUUUUCCAAGGGUUGAAAUUGACUUAAACGCCCUUGGAUUAGUGUUUUGGGGUAAAUUACUUCCGAUAUAAGUUGAAUAAGAAGUUUUUAGAUGGAAAGUCUUCUAAAUGAUUAUCAAUGAGUGACCUGAACUAUAAAGACUAUAAGUCUCGAAACGGGUAAUUUUUGAAAAAUGUCGUACCGGAGGGUGUAAUGGGAAUGUAAUGGUAUUUUUAAUAAUGACCAACCACAAAUAAGGUUGUGGUUGGAAUGAAUGACAAAACUAAGUAUGGAAGUUGGAAAUUUUAAAUGAUCACUA
This 2085-nucleotide long non-coding RNA is filed under the name Helianthus annuus (common sunflower). Its description in RNAcentral is "hypothetical non coding rna". The record is from RNAcentral. Lineage: Eukaryota; Viridiplantae; Streptophyta; Magnoliopsida; Asterales; Asteraceae.